UACGUAGGUGGCAAGCGUUAUCCGGAAUUAUUGGGCGUAAAGCGCGCGCAGGCGGUCCUUUAAGUCUGAUGUGAAAGCCCACGGCUCAACCGUGGAGGGUCAUUGGAAACUGGGGGACUUGAGUGCAGAAGAGGAGAGCGGAAUUCCACGUGUAGCGGUGAAAUGCGUAGAGAUGUGGAGGAACACCAGUGGCGAAGGCGACUUUCUGGUCUGUAACUGACACUGAGGCGCGAAAGCGUGGGGAGCGAACAGG
RNAcentral lists this ribosomal RNA (253 nucleotides) under uncultured bacterium. RNAcentral's name for it is "partial 16S ribosomal RNA". It matches the Rfam family "Bacterial small subunit ribosomal RNA", at positions 524 to 776 of the family's 1533-position model. The record is from RNAcentral.